CACCAACGUGAAGAUAUUUGAUGGAUUUUUUGUGCUGCAUUUGAUGAGGGAUGUUCCAGCUACUUACGGAAAUAUCUUCAAAAAUAUUUUGGGAAUGGAAGUUAGACAAUUCAACAUCGAGGGACCUGAUCAAAGACGUUCAUCUGAUUUCAAUGAAGACCUAAAAAAUGUAAAUUUCACAGAAGCAUUG
Neodiprion fabricii is the source of this 190-nucleotide long non-coding RNA. RefSeq lists it as uncharacterized. Lineage: Eukaryota; Metazoa; Arthropoda; Insecta; Hymenoptera; Diprionidae. The transcript is spliced from 2 exons. The record is from RefSeq and is a predicted model, not a curated record.